This 428-nucleotide ribosomal RNA is filed under the name uncultured bacterium. Its description in RNAcentral is "bacterial SSU rRNA". It matches the Rfam family "Bacterial small subunit ribosomal RNA", at positions 355 to 775 of the family's 1533-position model. The record is from RNAcentral.
UAGGGAAUCUUCGGCAAUGGGGGCAACCCUGACCGAGCAACGCCGCGUGAGUGAAGAAGGUUUUCGGAUCGUAAAGCUCUGUUGUAAGAGAAGAACGUGUGUGAGAGUGGAAAGUUCACACAGUGACGGUAACUUACCAGAAGGGGACGGCUAACUACGUGCCAGUAGCCGCGGUAAUACGUAGGUCCCGAGCGUUGUCCGGAUUUAUUGGGCGUAAAGCGAGCGCAGGCGGUUUAAUAAGUCUGAAGUUAAAGGCAGUGGCUUAACCAUUGUUCGCUUUGGAAACUGUUAGACUUGAGUGCAGAAGGGGAGAGUGGAAUUCCAUGUGUAGCGGUGAAAUGCGUAGAUAUAUGGAGGAACACCGGUGGCGAAAGCGGCUCUCUGGUCUGUAACUGACGCUGAGGCUCGAAAGCGUGGGGAGCAAACAG